GAUGAACGCUGGCGGCGUGCCUAAUACAUGCAAGUCGAGCGAACAGACGAGGAGCUUGCUCCUCUUACGUUAGCGGCGGACGGGUGAGUAACACGUGGAUAACCUACCUAUAAGACUGGGAUAACUUCGGGAAACCGGAGCUAAUACCGGAUAACAUGUUGAACCGCAUGGUUCAACAGUGAAAGACGGUCUUUCUUUCACUUAUAGAUGGAUCCGCGCCGCAUUAGCUAGUUGGUAAGGUAACGGCUUACCAAGGCAACGAUGCGUAGCCGACCUGAGAGGGUGAUCGGCCACACUGGAACUGAGACACGGUCCAGACUCCUACGGGAGGCAGCAGUAGGGAAUCUUACGCAAUGGGCGAAAUCCUGACGGAGCAACGCCGCGUGAGUGAAGAAGGUCUUCGGAUCGUAAAACUCUGUUAUUAGGGAAGAACAAAUGUGUAAGUAACUAUGCACGUAUUGACGGUACCUAAUCAGAAAGCCACGGCUAACUACGUG
This 497-nucleotide ribosomal RNA is filed under the name uncultured bacterium. RNAcentral describes it as "partial 16S ribosomal RNA". It matches the Rfam family "Bacterial small subunit ribosomal RNA", at positions 28 to 507 of the family's 1533-position model. The record is from RNAcentral.